RNAcentral lists this ribosomal RNA (676 nucleotides) under uncultured Vibrionaceae bacterium. RNAcentral describes it as "bacterial SSU rRNA". It matches the Rfam family "Bacterial small subunit ribosomal RNA", at positions 1 to 671 of the family's 1533-position model. Lineage: Bacteria; Pseudomonadati; Pseudomonadota; Gammaproteobacteria; Vibrionales; Vibrionaceae. The record is from RNAcentral.
UAGAGUUUGAUCAUGGCUCAGAUUGAACGCUGGCGGCAGGCCUAACACAUGCAAGUCGAGCGGUAACAGAAAAGAAGCUUGCUUCUUUUGCUGACGAGCGGCGGACGGGUGAGUAAUGCCUGGGAAUAUACCCUGAUGUGGGGGAUAACUAUUGGAAACGAUAGCUAAUACCGCAUAAUCUCUUCGGAGCAAAGAGGGGGACCUUCGGGCCUCUCGCGUCAGGAUUAGCCCAGGUGGGAUUAGCUAGUUGGUGGGGUAAUGGCUCACCAAGGCGACGAUCCCUAGCUGGUCUGAGAGGAUGAUCAGCCACACUGGAACUGAGACACGGUCCAGACUCCUACGGGAGGCAGCAGUGGGGAAUAUUGCACAAUGGGGGAAACCCUGAUGCAGCCAUGCCGCGUGUAUGAAGAAGGCCUUCGGGUUGUAAAGUACUUUCAGUUGUGAGGAAGGCGUUGGAGUUAAUAGCUUUAGCGUUUGACGUUAGCAACAGAAGAAGCACCGGCUAACUCCGUGCCAGCAGCCGCGGUAAUACGGAGGGUGCGAGCGUUAAUCGGAAUUACUGGGCGUAAAGCGCAUGCAGGCGGUCUGUUAAGCAAGAUGUGAAAGCCCGGGGCUCAACCUCGGAACAGCAUUUUGAACUGGCAGACUAGAGUCCUGUGAGGGGGGUAGAAUUUCA